This 301-nucleotide ribosomal RNA is filed under the name uncultured bacterium. RNAcentral's name for it is "partial 16S ribosomal RNA". It matches the Rfam family "Bacterial small subunit ribosomal RNA", at positions 509 to 807 of the family's 1533-position model. The record is from RNAcentral.
CAGCAGCCGCGGGAAUACGAAGGGUGCAAGCGUUAAUCGGAAUUACUGGGCGUAAAGCGUGCGUAGGCGGUGAGUUAAGUCUGCUGUGAAAUCCCCGGGCUCAACCUGGGAAUGGCAGUGGAUACUGGCUCGCUAGAGUGUGUCAGAGGAUAGUGGAAUUUCCGGUGUAGCAGUGAAAUGCGUAGAGAUCGGAAGGAACAUCUGUGGCGAAGGCGACUAUCUGGGCCAACACUGACACUGAGGCACGAAAGCGUGGGGAGCAAACAGGAUUAGAUACCCCUGUAGUCCCUGUCUCUUAUAC